AACGAACGCUGGCGGCAGGCCUAACACAUGCAAGUCGAGCGCCCCGCAAGGGGAGCGGCGGACGGGUGAGUAACGCGUGGGAAUAUGCCCUUUGCUACGGAAUAGUCUCGGGAAACUGGGGGUAAUACCGUAUACGCCCUUUGGGGGAAAGAUUUAUCGGCGAAGGAUUAGCCCGCGUUGGAUUAGGUAGUUGGUGGGGUAAUGGCCUACCAAGCCGACGAUCCAUAGCUGGUUUGAGAGGAUGAUCAGCCACACUGGGACUGAGACACGGCACAGACUCCUACGGGAGGCAGCAGUGGGGAAUCUUAGACAAUGGGGGCAACCCUGAUCUAGCCAUGCCGCGUGAGUGAUGGAGGCCUUAGGGUUGUAAAGCUCUUUCAGCUGGGAAGAUAAUGACGGUACCAGCAGAAGAAGCCCCGGCUAACUCCGUG
This 431-nucleotide ribosomal RNA is filed under the name uncultured bacterium. Its description in RNAcentral is "partial 16S ribosomal RNA". It matches the Rfam family "Bacterial small subunit ribosomal RNA", at positions 29 to 507 of the family's 1533-position model. The record is from RNAcentral.